Molecule: ribosomal RNA, 274 nt
Filed under: uncultured bacterium
Lineage: Bacteria
Description: partial 16S ribosomal RNA
Rfam family: Bacterial small subunit ribosomal RNA
Source: RNAcentral
AUACGGAGGUUGCAAGCGUUAUUCGGAAUCACUGGGCGUAAAGGACGCGUAGGCGGGUUGGCAAGUCAGAUGUGAAAUCCUACAGCUUAACUGUAGAACUGCAUUUGAAACUGCUAACCUAGAGUAUGGGAGGGGGAGAUGGAAUUAGUGGUGUAGGGGUAAAAUCCGUAGAUAUCACUAGGAAUACCGAAAGCGAAGGCGAUCUCCUGGAACAUAACUGACGCUAAGGCGUGAAAGCGUGGGGAGCAAACAGGAUUAGAAACCCCAGUAGUCC